Molecule: long non-coding RNA, 316 nt
Filed under: Homo sapiens (human)
Lineage: Eukaryota; Metazoa; Chordata; Mammalia; Primates; Hominidae
Description: non-protein coding lnc-NOP14-3:1
Source: RNAcentral
CCACGCGUUGACUGCCGUGUGUGACUCCAGUCGGCGUCUCAACAGUCUCCGGUGUCCACGCGUUGACUGCCGUGUGUGACUCCAGUCGGCGUCUCAACAGUCUCCGGUGUCCACGCGUUGACUGCCGUGUGUGACUCCAGUCGGCGUCUCAACAGUCUCCGGUGUCCACGCGUUGACUGCCGUGUGUGACUCCAGUCGGCGUCUCAACAGUCUCCGGUGUCCAUGCGUUGACUGCCAUGUAUGACUCCAGUGGUCUUUCUAUUUUCUCAUCAAAUUGAGACUUUGGGGAAACUACACAGCAGCAAACCAGGAUAUA